RNAcentral lists this long non-coding RNA (2259 nucleotides) under Mus musculus (house mouse). Its description in RNAcentral is "novel transcript". Lineage: Eukaryota; Metazoa; Chordata; Mammalia; Rodentia; Muridae. The record is from RNAcentral.
UUGGGCAGUGUGUUUUGUUUUCAGAGAGGACUCAUAAAUAAGCUGGCUGUAGAGGACUCUGGAGACAGUGUUAAGGAGGAGACACCAUAAGCUCUGUCCUCCUGUCCUUUCUUACCACACCAUGUGGAAGAACAGAUAUGCUCAGCUGUACCUUUUUUCAGUUCUUCUUGCCUUCCUGCCUUCUGCAUCUUCACUCAAUGGAGACCCGAAGUAUAUGGUGCUGGUCCCUUCUCAGCUCUACACUGAGACCCCUGAGAAAAUCUGCUUCCAUCUAUACCAUCUGAAUGAGACAGUGACCGUCACAGCUUCCUUGGUGUCUCAAUCAAGAUGGAGAAACCUGUUCGAUGAGCAUAUCACAGAUUUCUUGGUAUCUCAAUUGGAAAGGAGAAACCUGUUCGAUGAGCUUGUGGUUGACAAGGACUUGUUCCAAUGUGUUUCCUUCAUUAUCCCUACACUCAACUCUCCUGAUGAGGAGGAGUUUCUCUACGUGGACAUCAAAGGGCCAACCCACGAAUUCAGCAAAAGGAAAGCAGUGCUUGUGAAGAACAAAGAAAGUGUUGUCUUUGUCCAGACAGAUAAGCCCGUGUACAAACCAGGACAAUCAGUUAAAUUUCGGGUUGUCUCUAUGGAUAAAACUCUACACCCCCUGAAUGAGUUGCUCCCUCUGGCUUACAUUGAGGAUCCGAAAAAGAACCGAAUUAUGCAGUGGAGGGAUAUUAAGACUGAGAAUGGGCUUAAGCAAAUGUCCUUCAGCCUGGCAGCAGAGCCCAUUCAGGGCCCCUACAAGAUAGUGGUGCACAAACAGUCAGGGGAGAUGGAAGAACACUCCUUUACUGUGUUGGAAUUUGUGCUUCCCAGAUUUAAUGUCGACCUGAAGGUUCCAAAUGCCAUCUCUGUGAAUGAUGAAGUGCUCCAAGUGACUGCAUGUGGGAAAUAUACCUAUGGGAAGCCUGUUCCAGGACAGGUGAAGAUAAGUAUCUGCCAUGAGACUGAAGCUGGAUGCAAAGAAGUCAAUUCCAAGCUUGAGUCUUCCUUGUUUCCCUGUGGACUCAUUUUCUUAUUUGAAACCGGUAAAGAAUUUUCCUGUGACACUUCUAUAUAUUUACAUAGUGAACUUGGACCAUAUUCUGAUCUAUAACAUUGCAGAAGGCCCUGGAAUAGGCCUGAAAGCCUAUCCGUUUUGUUAAGAUUUCAGCUAUAUAUCCAGGGCUCUACUUAGGCUCACCUUACCUCUGGAACUGGCUUGUUGUAGACGAGCAACCCUAAGUCCAUUUUACAUAUCAAAAAAAGACAAAAUUCAUUUUUUGGCUGAUCAUGGACCUCUGUUCUUGACCUCAUUAUAUGAUUGUUGUUGAUCACUUUGUGUGUCGAAUUAUCCUAAUAUCCCAUGCUUAACCCAACAUGAACAUGAAACACCAUCUCUAUCAUGUGUUGAACUACCAAGUAAUCUCAUAACAGAUGUACAUGUGAAUCUGCAAGGAUAUUUGUACAUGCAUAUAUGUCUGUGUGUGUGUGUGUAUAGGUGUGUACGUGAACAUGUAUACAGAUAUUGCUAUGGCUCCUACACCAGAGUAAUACUGGCUUUUUGGGUUUUUUAGAAUGAUUUUUCCUUAUCCCUUUGGUGAAGAAGAUUGAACAUUCUUCAUGACAUUUUACAGCCAGUGGGUCAGAUCCAUCAAUCUGAUGGUCUAGGCUUUCUUUGUUAGAGGAGAUUAUAUCACCUAUUUCCAUCUUUUCCCUCUGUUGAUCUCUUCAUAUAUUUUGUAACAUCCAGAAUUUAUCAUCACACCCAUGGAUUAGAAGUGGAAUGGCAGCAGGUGGUUCAUAUUAGAUAAUGUCUGAAUAGUUUUUUGGAUGUCUGUUUUAUGAAGUGAGAAAUAUUUUUCUUUCAGGAUAGUCAACACUCUGGAAUACAAGUUUGGUUCAUAACUGUUAGGGUUCAAAUGGAUUCUAACUUGUCUAUUCUGUGUCUCUCAUUUUAAUAAUUUGUGUCUUCUAAGUGAUUAACACCAAGGGUUUGCCAGAUUUGUUUGUCCUAUCAAAUUUCCAGGUCUUUGUUUCUGUGAUCUUUGUAUCAUCUUAUAUAUGUCUGCUUAUUUCAAGCUCUGCUCUUACUUAUGCUUUGCAUAACUGCUUUGGGGUUUGGGUUGUGUGAUUUGUUGUUGCUUUUAAUCUCUGAACACAAGAUGUAUCAUUAGGAUGCUUGAGAUAUGUGUGAUUUUCAUGAAACUGAUAGGCAUAAACUUGUCUCCUCAACCU